GCACCACAAGGGGUGAAGCUUGCGGUUUAAUUGGAGUCAACUCCGGGACCCUUACCAAGGGCGACAGCUGGAUGAAGGUCAGAUUAAAGGUCUUACCGGACUAGCUGAGAGGAGGUGCAUGGUCGUCGCCAGUUCGUGCCGUGAGGUGUUCUCUUAAGUGAGACAACGAACGAGACCCGCGCCUCUAGUUGCUACCGGUUUCCUUCGGGAUUCCGGGCACACUAAAGGGACUGCCCUCGCUAAGAGGGAGGAAGGAGCGGGCCACGGCAGGUCAGUAUGCCCCGGAUCCCUUGGGCCACACGCGAGCUGCAAUGGAUGGGACAAUGGGCUCCGACCCCGAAAGGGGAAGGCAAUCUUCAAACCCAUCCUCAGUUGGGAUCGAGGGCUGCAACCCGCCCUCGUGAACAUGGAAUCCCUAGUAACCGCGUGUCAUCAUCGCGCGGUGAAUACGUCCCUGCUCCUUGCACACACCGCCCGUCGCUCCAUCCGAGUCUGGCUCUGGUGAGGCGUGGCCUAAUUGGUCAUGUCGAGCCUAGGUUAGACAAGGAGGGAG
Molecule: ribosomal RNA, 553 nt
Filed under: uncultured archaeon AM-11
Lineage: Archaea
Description: bacterial SSU rRNA
Rfam family: Archaeal small subunit ribosomal RNA
Source: RNAcentral